UGGGGAAUAUUGGACAAUGGGCACAAGCCUGAUCCAGCCAUGCCGCGUGAGUGAAGAAGGCCUUCGGGUUGUAAAGCUCUUUUUACCAGGGACGAUAAUGACGGUACCUGGAGAAUAAGCCCCGGCAAACUUCGUGCCAGCAGCCGCGGUAAUACGAAGGGGGCUAGCGUUGUUCGGAAUUACUGGGCGUAAAGCGCACGUAGGCUGAUUGUUAAGUCAGGGGUGAAAUCCCAGAGCUCAACUCUGGAACUGCCCUUGAUACUGGCGAUCUCGAGUCCGGAAGAGGUUAGUGGAAUUCCCAGUGUAGAGGUGAAAUUCGUAGAUAUUGGGAAGAACACCGGUGGCGAAGGCGGCUAACUGGUCCGGUACUGACGCUGAGGUGCGAAAGCGUGGGGAGCAAACAGGAUUAGAUACCCCCGUAGUCCCUGAGCGGGCUGGCAAGGCGCAU
RNAcentral lists this ribosomal RNA (448 nucleotides) under uncultured bacterium. Its description in RNAcentral is "bacterial SSU rRNA". It matches the Rfam family "Bacterial small subunit ribosomal RNA", at positions 355 to 825 of the family's 1533-position model. The record is from RNAcentral.